Drosophila miranda is the source of this 352-nucleotide long non-coding RNA. RefSeq lists it as uncharacterized. The transcript is spliced from 2 exons. The record is from RefSeq and is a predicted model, not a curated record. NCBI's taxonomy places the organism in Eukaryota, Metazoa, Arthropoda, Insecta, Diptera, Drosophilidae.
UUAUUCUUGCAGUCACGCCUGGACGCGACGGACAGGUUCGCUCAGCCACUGUAAAGACGACGACUGGAGUUCUACACCGCCCAACCUGUAUGCUGGCAAAGCUAGACAUAUUGUGAAUCACGAGCGUGCUUGAUUCACGGUGGUGGGGAUGUUGUCGAGAAAAAUUAGCUUAUAUAUACUUAGUUUUAAGCAAGGGCACAGAUACCCUACAUAAAGAAAAAAGAGAGAAGAAAAAUGGCAAUACUAUGAAAAGACAAGAAGGUCACAUUAGUUUGAGCAGUCGAAGAAAGAGCGGGGAGAAAAGACGAAGCGAAAUAAAACGCAACCAACGCCUAAGUACCUAUGAAGAUAA